CCUACGGGAGGGCUGCAGUGAGGAAGAUUGGGCAAUGGCCGGAAGGCUGAACCAGCCAAGCCGCGUGAAGGACGAAGGUGACAAGCAUUGGAAACUUCUUUUGACAAGGGACAAAAUCAGGCUCGAGAGCCUGACCGAGGGAACUUGAAGAAAAAGCAGCGGCGAACGCCGUGCCAGCAGCCGCGGUAAUACGGAGGAUGCGAGCGUUAGCCGGAUUUAUUGGGUUUAACGGGAGCGUAGGUGGAUUUUUAAGUCAGUUGUGAAAGUUUGCGGCCCAACCGUAAAAUUGCAGUUGAAACGGGCAGUCUUUAGUACAGUAGAGGUGGGCGUAAUUCGUGGUGUAGCGG
RNAcentral lists this ribosomal RNA (347 nucleotides) under uncultured bacterium. RNAcentral's name for it is "partial 16S ribosomal RNA". It matches the Rfam family "Bacterial small subunit ribosomal RNA", at positions 338 to 681 of the family's 1533-position model. The record is from RNAcentral.